UGUACGGCCCGCCCAUAGCUCCUUCGACGGCGCCGCCUAGGAACGCGGAGAAAAUAUGACAAAGGAACGGCCAAAAAUAAAAAGAAAGACCUUUCUUUUGAAAAAACAAACAAAAAAAAGAAAUGCAACACGAGGACUUCCCAGGAGGUCACCCAUCCUAGUACUACUCUCGCCCAAGCAUGCUUAACUUCGGAGUUCUGAUGGGAUCCGGUGCUUUAGUGUUGGUAUGAUCGCAUCCGACAUACCGUGCGUUCUCCUCCCCUUUAUGCCCGCGCCUCCGUGUACGGCCCGCCCAUAGCUCCUUCGACGGCGCCGCCUAGGAACGCGGAGAAAAUAUGACAAAGGAACGGCCAAAAAUAAAAAGAAAGACCUUUCUUUUGAAAAAACAAACAAAAAAAAGGAAUGCAACACGAGGACUUCCCAGGAGGUCACCCAUCCUAGUACUACUCUCGCCCAAGCACGCUUAACUUCGGAGUUCUGAUGGGAUCCGGUGCUUUAGUGCUGGUAUGAUCGCAUCCGACAUACCGUGCGUUCUCCUCCCCUUUAUGCCCGCGCCUCCGUGUACGGCCCGCCCAUAGCUCCUUCGACGGCGCCGCCUAGGAACGCGGAGAAAAUAUGACAAAGGAACGGCCAAAAAUAAAAAGAAAGACCUUUCUUUUGAAAAAACAAACAAAAAAAAGGAAUGCAACACGAGGACUUCCCAGGAGGUCACCCAUCCUAGUACUACUCUCGCCCAAGCACGCUUAACUUCGGAGUUCUGAUGGGAUCCGGUGCUUUAGUGCUGGUAUGAUCGCAUCCGACAUACCGUGCGUUCUCCUCCCCUUUAUGCCCGCGCCUCCGUGUACGGCCCGCCCAUAGCUCCUUCGACGGCGCCGCCUAGGAACGCGGAGAAAAUAUGACAAAGGAACGGCCAAAAAUAAAAAGAAAGACCUUUCUUUUGAAAAAACAAACAAAUAAAAGGAAUGCAACACGAGGACUUCCCAGGAGGUCACCCAUCCUAGUACUACUCUCGCCCAAGCACGCUUAACUUCAGAGUUCUGAUGGGAUCCGGUGCUUUAGUGCUGGUAUGAUCGCAUCCGACAUACCGUGCGUUCUCCUCCCCUUUAUGCCCGCGCCUCCGUGUACGGCCCGCCCAUAGCUCCUUCGACGGCGCCGCCUAGGAACGCGGAGAAAAUAUGACAAAGGAACGGCCAAAAAUAAAAAGAAAGACCUUUCUUUUGAAAAAACAAACAAAUAAAAGGAAUGCAACACGAGGACUUCCCAGGAGGUCACCCAUCCUAGUACUACUCUCGCCCAAGCACGCUUAACUUCGGAGUUCUGAUGAGAUCCGGUGCUUUAGUGCUGGUAUGAUCGCAUUCGACAUACCGUGCGUUCUCCUCCCCUUUAUGCCCGCGCCUCCAUGUACGGCCCGCCCAUAGCUCCUUCGACGGCGCCGCCUAGGAACGCGGAGAAAAUAUGACAAAGGAACGGCCACGAAUAAAAAGAGAGACCUUUCUUUUGAAAAAACAAACGCCUCCGUGUACGGCCCGCCCAUAGCUCCUUCGACGGCGCCGCCUAGGAACGCGGAGAAAAUAUGACAAAGGAACGGCCAAAAAUAAAAAGAAAGACCUUUCUUUUGAAAAAACAAACAAAAAAAAGGAAUGCAACACGAGGACUUCCCAGGAGGUCACCCAUCCUAGUACUACUCUCGCCCAAGCACGCUUAACUUCGGAGUUCUGAUGGGAUCCGGUGCUUUAGUGCUGGUAUGAUCGCAUCCGACAUACCGUGCGUUCUCCUCCCCUUUAUGCCCGCGCCUCCGUGUACGGCCCGCCCAUAGCUCCUUCGACGGCGCCGCCUAGGAACGCGGAGAAAAUAUGACAAAGGAACGGCCAAAAAUAAAAAGAAAGACCUUUCUUUUGAAAAAACAAACAAAUAAAAGGAAUGCAACACGAGGACUUCCCAGGAGGUCACCCAUCCUAGUACUACUCUCGCCCAAGCACGCUUAACUUCGGAGUUCUGAUGGGAUCCGGUGCUUUAGUGCUGGUAUGAUCGCAUCCGACAUACCGUGCGUUCUCCUCCCCUUUAUGCCCGCGCCUCCGUGUACGGCCCGCCCAUAGCUCCUUCGACGGCGCCGCCUAGGAACGCGGAGAAAAUAUGACAAAGGAACGGCCAAAAAUAAAAAGAAAGACCUUUCUUUUGAAAAAACAAACAAAAAAAAGGAAUGCAACACGAGGACUUCCCAGGAGGUCACCCAUCCUAGUACUACUCUCGCCCAAGCACGCUUAACUUCGGAGUUCUGAUGGGAUCCGGUGCUUUAAUGCUGGUAUGAUCGCAUCCGACAUACCGUGCGUUCUCCUCCCCUUUAUGCCCGCGCCUCCGUGUACGGCCCGCCCAUAGCUCCUUCGACGGCGCCGCCUAGGAACGCGGAGAAAAUAUGACAAAGGAACGGCCAAAAAUAAAAAGAAAGACCUUUCUUUUGAAAAAACAAACAAAAAAAAGGAAUGCAACACGAGGACUUCCCAGGAGGUCACCCAUCCUAGUACUACUUUCGCCCAAGCACGCUUAACUUCGGAGUUCCGAUGGGAUCCGGUGCUUUAGUCCUGGUAUGAUCGCAUCCGACAUACCGUGCGUUCUCCUCCCCUUGAGGCCCGCGCCUCCGUGUACGGCCCGCCCAUAGCUCCUUCGACGGCGCCGCCUAGGAACGCGGAGAAAAUAUGACAAAGGAACGGCCCACAACUAGAAAGAAAGACCUUUCUUUUGAAAAGACAGACAAACAAAAGGAAUGCAACACGAGGACUUCCCAGGAGGUCACCCAUCCUAGUACUACUCUCGCCCAAGCACGCUUAACUUCGGAGUUCUGAUGGGAUCCGGUGCUUUAGUGCUGGUAUGAUCGCAUCCG
This 2878-nucleotide long non-coding RNA is filed under the name Sorghum bicolor (sorghum). Its description in RNAcentral is "long non-coding RNA (SBIC_LNC015499)". Lineage: Eukaryota; Viridiplantae; Streptophyta; Magnoliopsida; Poales; Poaceae. The record is from RNAcentral.